GCGGGCAUAGUAUAGGGGCAAUACGCGAGCUUCCCAAGCUUGAAUCGAGGGUUCGAUUCCCUCUGCCCGCACCA
RNAcentral lists this transfer RNA (74 nucleotides) under Puniceicoccales bacterium. RNAcentral describes it as "tRNA-Gly". It matches the Rfam family "tRNA". From Rfam's summary of the family: Transfer RNA (tRNA) molecules are approximately 80 nucleotides in length. Their secondary structure includes four short double-helical elements and three loops (D, anti-codon, and T loops). Further hydrogen bonds mediate the characteristic L-shaped molecular structure. tRNAs have two regions of fundamental functional importance: the anti-codon, which is responsible for specific mRNA codon recognition, and the 3' end, to which the tRNAs corresponding amino acid is attached (by aminoacyl-tRNA synthetases). tRNAs cope with the degeneracy of the genetic code in two manners: having more than one tRNA (with a specific anti-codon) for a particular amino acid; and 'wobble' base-pairing, i.e. permitting non-standard base-pairing at the 3rd anti-codon position. The record is from RNAcentral. Lineage: Bacteria; Pseudomonadati; Verrucomicrobiota; Opitutia; Puniceicoccales.